RNAcentral lists this ribosomal RNA (404 nucleotides) under uncultured Acidobacteriota bacterium. RNAcentral describes it as "bacterial SSU rRNA". It matches the Rfam family "Bacterial small subunit ribosomal RNA", at positions 355 to 776 of the family's 1533-position model. Lineage: Bacteria; Pseudomonadati; Acidobacteriota. The record is from RNAcentral.
UGGGGAAUCUUGCACAAUGGGGGCAACCCUGAUGCAGCGACGCCGCGUGAGUGAUGAAGCCCUUCGGGGUGUAAAGCUCUUUCGGCAGGGACGAUAAUGACGGUACCUGAAGAAGAAGCUGCGGCUAACUACGUGCCAGCAGCCGCGGUAAUACGUAGGCAGCGAGCGUUGUUCGGAGUUACUGGGCGUAAAGCGUGCGUAGGCGGUGGCCCAAGUCUGGUGUGAAAUCUCCCGGCUUAACUGGGAGGGUGCGCCGGAAACUGGGUUGCUGGAGUACCGGAGAGGCAAGCGGAAUUCCUGGUGUAGCGGUGAAAUGCGUAGAUAUCAGGAGGAACACCCGUGGUGUAGACGGCUUGCUGGACGGUCACUGACGCUGAGGCACGAAAGCGUGGGGAGCAAACAGG